This 419-nucleotide ribosomal RNA is filed under the name uncultured archaeon. RNAcentral's name for it is "bacterial SSU rRNA". It matches the Rfam family "Archaeal small subunit ribosomal RNA", at positions 459 to 879 of the family's 1478-position model. The record is from RNAcentral.
CAGCCGCCGCGGUAAUACCAGCCCCGCGAGUGAUCCGGACGCUUACUGGGCUUAAAGCGCCCGUAGCCGGCCCCACAAGUCACCCCUUAAAGGCCCCGGCUCAACCGGGGAAAUGGGGGUGAUACUGUGGGGCUAGGGGGCGAGAGAGGCCGGCGGUACUCCCGGAGUAGGGGCGAAAUCCGUAGAUCCCGGAAGACCAACAGUGGCGAAGGCGUUUGGCCAGAACGCGCCCGACGGUGAGGGGCGAAAGCCGGGGCAGCAAAAGGGAUUAGAUACCCCUGUAGUCCCGGCCGUAAACGAUGCAGGCUAGGUGUCGCGUGGGCUUAGGGCCCACGCGGUGCCGCAGGGAAACCGGUAAGCUUGCCGCCUGGGGAGUACGGCCGCAAGGCUGAAACUUAAAGGAAUUGGCGGGGGAGCAC